GAUGAACGCUGGCGGCGUGCCUAAUACAUGCAAGUCGAGCGAACGGACGAGAAGCUUGCUUCUCUGAUGUUAGCGGCGGGCGGGUGAGUAACACGUGGAUAACCUACCUAUAAGACUGGGAUAACUUCGGGAAACCGGAGCUAAUACCGGAUAAUAUUUUGAACCGCAUGGUUCAAAAGUGAAAGACGGUCUUGCUGUCACUUAUAGAUGGAUCCGCGCUGCAUUAGCUAGUUGGUAAGGUAACGGCUUACCAAGGCAACGAUGCAUAGCCGACCUGAGAGGGUGAUCGGCCACACUGGAACUGAGACACGGUCCAGACUCCUACGGGAGGCAGCAGUAGGGAAUCUUCCGCAAUGGGCGAAAGCCUGACGGAGCAACGCCGCGUGAGUGAUGAAGGCCUUCGGAUCGUAAAACUCUGUUAUUAGGGAAGAACAUAUGUGUAAGUAACUGUGCACAUCUUGACGGUACCUAAUCAGAAAGCCACGGCUAACUACGUG
RNAcentral lists this ribosomal RNA (497 nucleotides) under uncultured bacterium. RNAcentral describes it as "partial 16S ribosomal RNA". It matches the Rfam family "Bacterial small subunit ribosomal RNA", at positions 28 to 507 of the family's 1533-position model. The record is from RNAcentral.